GACGAACACUGGCGGCGUGCUUAACACAUGCAAGUCGAACGGAAAGGCCCUGCUUUUGUGGGGUGCUCGAGUGGCGAACGGGUGAGUAACACGUGAGUAACCUGCCCUUGACUUUGGGAUAACUUCAGGAAACUGGGGCUAAUACCGGAUAGGAGCUCCUGCUGCAUGGUGGGGGUUGGAAAGUUUCGGCGGUUGGGGAUGGACUCGCGGCUUAUCAGCUUGUUGGUGGGGUAGUGGCUUACCAAGGCUUUGACGGGUAGCCGGCCUGAGAGGGUGACCGGCCACAUUGGGACUGAGAUACGGCCCAGACUCCUACGGGAGGCAGCAGUGGGGAAUAUUGCACAAUGGGCGGAAGCCUGUUGCAGCAACGCCGCGUGCGGGAUGACGGCCUUCGGGUUGUAAACCGCUUUCGCCUGUGACGAAGCGUGAGUGACGGUAAUGGGUAAAGAAGCACCGGCUAACUACGUG
Molecule: ribosomal RNA, 468 nt
Filed under: uncultured bacterium
Lineage: Bacteria
Description: partial 16S ribosomal RNA
Rfam family: Bacterial small subunit ribosomal RNA
Source: RNAcentral